GCGGCGGACGGGUGAGUAACGCGUGGGUAACCUACCCUGUACACACGGAUAACAUACCGAAAGGUAUGCUAAUACGGGAUAAUAUAUUUGAGAGGCAUCUCUUGAAUAUCAAAGGUGAGCCAGUACAGGAUGGACCCGCGUCUGAUUAGCUAGUUGGUAAGGUAACGGCUUACCAAGGCGACGAUCAGUAGCCGACCUGAGAGGGUGAUCGGCCACAUUGGAACUGAGACACGGUCCAAACUCCUACGGGAGGCAGCAGUGGGGAAUAUUGCACAAUGGGCGAAAGCCUGAUGCAGCAACGCCGCGUGAGUGAUGAAGGCCUUCGGGUCGUAAAACUCUGUCCUCAAGGAAGAUAAUGACGGUACUUGAGGAGGAAGCCCCGGCUAACUACGUGCCAGCAGCCGCGGUAAUACGUAGGGGGCUAGCGUUAUCCGGAUUUACUGGGCGUAAAGGGUGCGUAGGCGGUCUUUCAAGUCAGGAGUGAAAGGCUACGGCUCAACCGUAGUAAGCUCUUGAAACUGGGAGACUUGAGUGCAGGAGAGGAGAGUGGAAUUCCUAGUGUAGCGGUGAAAUGCGUAGAUAUUAGGAGGAACACCAGUUGCGAAGGCGGCUCUCUGGACUGUAACUGACGCUGAGGCACGAAAGCGUGGGGAGCAAACAGGAUUAGAUACCCUGGUAGUCCACGCUGUAAACGAUGAGUACUAGGUGUCGGGGGUUACCCCCUUCGGUGCCGCAGCUAACGCAUUAAGUACUCCGC
Molecule: ribosomal RNA, 757 nt
Filed under: uncultured bacterium
Lineage: Bacteria
Description: bacterial SSU rRNA
Rfam family: Bacterial small subunit ribosomal RNA
Source: RNAcentral